CACACCUUAUUAUUUACAACGUCUUUGGCUACACACAUAUAAGUUUAAUGUUUGUUUAUUAUUGGGAGUGAAAGCUGUUUCUGCUAGAAAUUUAAGUGACGAUUUUUGUACGGAGAUGUAUCUUCUGGGAAAGUGUUGUGAAUUUAUAUGAUUAAAGUAACUAGUUUUGUUGAGAAAUUUUGGAAGAAGAUGAGUUAUUACGCUGUUGCGAAGGGCAGAUAUCCUGGAGUUUAUUCUUCGUGGUCAGACUGCAAGAAGCAGGUAGAUCAGUUUCCUGGAGCAAAAUACAGGAAAUUUUCCACUGAAGUUGAAGCAAGAAAUUUUGUAAGCCAGUUUUGCACAAAUUCAUCUCACCCAACAACAAUCAAAAGAGAGAUUCCAAGUAGAGGUCCUUAUACGACUGAUGAGAUAGCUAGUAUAUAUGUAGAGGCUAUUUCAAAUGCUGUGAAACAUCGUGCAGACAGUGGCGCAGCUGCUGACCAACACAAUAAUGAAGAGAAGGCAACAGUGUCAGAUAUUUACAAGCGACUGUCACAACUGGAAGAGAAACAGGAUGAAAUAACAAAAAGAAUACGGGAGGAGCUAGAUGAAUUGAGAGAGAAUUUUCAAGCUCUUGAUUCAAGGCUUUCUAAAAUGGAAUCAAAAAUUUUUGAUAAAUCUGACAUGAAUCAUGUUGUAAUAAAAUCAAGAAUUGAUGAUAUAAAUAAAGUGGAGAAAAUAUUUGAAGAGGAGUUUGGUCUCAUCAGAGAAAAAAUAAUCAGUUUGAAAGCACAGAAAACUGAGUUAGUUCCGAAAGACAAUGGUACUGAAUCUCGUAGGCAACUUCUAAAAGAAAUAUUGUAUGAAGAAACAAAGCCAAAAGUUCUUGGAAACAGGCCCUCUGGUAGCAAAUAUGCUUCAGUCAGCAGUUCCAUUGGAGGAGCAAAACGAAAAUAUAGUACUCAGAGCACAGAGGAUAACUCUGUGAAACAGCCAAAACUAGACUCCAGUGAGGGCCGGAAAGUUGCCAGUGUGUCAUCAUUAAAUUUCAGAGGCAACUUAUCGUCAAAUUCUGCUUUCAUUGUCAACAAUGAAGGCUAUGUGGAAGUCUACACUGACGGAGCUUGUGAAAAGAAUGGAAAAAAAGGCGCUAAAGCAGGCAUUGGCGUGUGGUUUGGUGACAAUCACCCCUUAAAUAUAUCUGAACCUGUUGUUGGGAGACCAACUAAUAACACAGCAGAAAUUCAGGCUGCAACCUAUGCUGUAGAAACAGCAAAAAAAGCUGGAGUCAAAAAAUUACUUGUCCACACAGACUCAAAUUUCUUGAUUAGUUGUAUUACACAAUGGAUAAAAAAAUGGAAGAAAAAUGAUUGGCGUGUACAAGGAGGAGAACCUGUUAAAAACAAAGAUGACCUUAUUGUUUUGGAUAACAAACUGCAAGGCAUUGACGUGAAAUGGAACCAUGUACGAGGACAUUGUGGUCUUCAUGGAAAUGAGAUGGCAGAUCGUCUAGCUCGAGAAGGUGCAAAACGAUAUGUACAAUUUGCAUAUGAUGAAGAUUUUGAUGAUCUCUCACAACUGUAAAUGAUAAUGUACAGAAUUACAUUUUGGAAGCUGCUUAUUACAGCCAUUUUCUUUAUGACAAUGUGAGAAGAAAAAAUGGAUAACAGUUUGAAAUGGAAACAUGAAAUUAUUUGCCGUUAAUGAGAAAUCAUCAUAGAACUGUGUGCUUUGGUUUUUAGCAUGUGACUGAUGAGUUACAGGAUAUGGUGACCGAUGCGCAGUGACCAAUUUUCAUCCAAAGCACUGGGUGAGUUCAUUUGUUUGUUGAGAAAGGGAGCCCAAUACCAUUUUUGGCCGGUCAGUGACAUGCUGUGAUGACAGAAUC
Molecule: unclassified non-coding RNA, 1867 nt
Filed under: Schistocerca americana (American grasshopper)
Lineage: Eukaryota; Metazoa; Arthropoda; Insecta; Orthoptera; Acrididae
Description: ribonuclease H1-like, transcript variant X1
Source: RNAcentral